This 2923-nucleotide long non-coding RNA is filed under the name Nicotiana tabacum (common tobacco). RNAcentral describes it as "long non-coding RNA (NTAB_LNC008095)". Lineage: Eukaryota; Viridiplantae; Streptophyta; Magnoliopsida; Solanales; Solanaceae. The record is from RNAcentral.
GGCAACUCAUUAAUAUUAGAAGAGACAACACUAAAGACAUUUAUCAAACAAAAUAACCUAGGAAAUGUUUAACAAAAAUUCAUAACAUGUAGUAAUUGUGCAUACACAUGAAAACAACAACAAAAAAUAAAGCAAAAUAAGAUGUCUUCAAGUUCUGGCUUCGCUAGCAUCAUUUUCUCUUGAAGUCUAAAGACUCUUCAUACAAUCCCAAGCCGUGAACUCAGAAUCCCGAGCCUCGAAAAUAUCUCUGCAGUCACCAUGAUAAUGUUUGGAAGCACAGUGCAUAAUUACUUUACCAAAAGUUUCUAUGAAGGAAAAAAAAGUUCAAUUCAAGUUAGAUAUAUGCCAAAUGAAAAUCCCAAGGUCGUUCAAGUCAGGUAUAUUACUAUCUAAAAUCCACAUACCUGAAAAAAUCAAAUUGAAUAGCUUGUCAUUAUAAAUAUCUAUCACAAAAAACUAAAUGCCUUUUCUGCCAAUUUCCUUUCAUAAUGACCACAGUAAAGCUCCUUCAUGAAUAAAUUGUCAACAAUGAAGCUAAUAAAAACAAUUAAUUGCCAAUGAAAUAAAUUUUAUUAGAAACACAACAGAAGAAAAUUUAUCUUUUACAUUAAAAUUAUUAUAGCAUUUUUCUGUAAGUGUUAAUAAAGCAACUACAUUUUGCAGUGCAUAGCUAUAUGUUCAAGCCUUCAAGGACUAUAGGACUCCUAGUACCACAUUCUCCUAAAACAACCUAGCUAAUAAAGAAUGUUUUCGAUAAUAUGAAUGAAUUGAUAAAAAAAAUUCAUAACGCCUAGGUAACUGAAGAUUGGUUAGGAGUAGAUCCAUACCUUUUAUUCUUCCUUACUCUUCAUUUUAAGUUUCAAUUUAGAUUUUACAAGCAUUAGGAACAAUUUUCCUUUGAGAUUCAACAAGAGACUUCAAAUAUGUAGGCUUAAUAAGUUUGUCAAACUAUCUGGACAAGACCAAAUUUAUUAAGUAUGAUUGUUGUGGCAUGUAGGGGUCCGACUAAUCAAGACACUUCAAAUAUGUGGAAAUUAGCCAACUACUGUUUGAAAGCCACACUUUCUAACAAAGUAUUACAAAAAUAUAUAUGUGCACUCAAGCAUAACAAUUAUCUUCAAAAAUAGGUCAAAUUAGAAAAAUAAGAAUACGCUCAAUAACAUAAAUAGAAAACUAAGAAAUGAAACAAACCUCUUGAGUUCCAUAAUAAUGGAGGUGUUAUAUGUUCUAAAAUGGUUCAUACUUGUCAAGCAGCCAAUAAUAUCUCGCAACAAAGUUCGGUUAUCUUCUACAUGCGCAUAGUAACAUGAAUUUGUUCUUCAUUACCAACCUAUACUAAGAAACAUAAUGAAAUUCAUCUUCAAGAAAUAAUUGCAAACUUCACCUCAAGAUCUUGAAAACUACGGAUAGCAUUAACUAGAAGAGAACACAUCCUUCUUAUGAGUAGAAAAGAGAAAAGAAAGAAAAACAAGGCAGAGAGAAGAAAAUCGAAACAACAAAUGUAUAUCCAUGCUUAAGAAUCAGCAUAACAGCAUAAUUAUCCAUUAAUCACACAACAUCGUUGAAGGGAUAAAUAUAUGAAUUCACCUUAUGAAACCACAAAACCAAUAUAGCGCAAUUAUCAGUGUUAUUAUCUCAAGGUUCAAAGACAAAGCUUAUUCUUUACACUUUCUUCUCCAAAGAGAAAAGGAAAAGAGAAAGAUUUCAUGAAUCCGAUUAGACUGGGUAAAUAACAACCAAAAUCUGACCUACUGACAGUGAAAAUAUCACUAGCAAUGGAAAGAAAUCCAAUCAGAGACCAAAAGAAAAAAGGGAAUAAGAAACCCAAACGCUCCUAAUCUCCAUUCCAGAUGCUAAAAACUAUGUAAUAGAGUUCAUUCUUUCUAUGCAUUUUACUUUCUCUGAACGGAGAAGAUUUGGGGUGAAGAGGAAAAUUAUACAAAAGUAUGGCAAGUUUAUCUAGGUUAAGCAGAAAACUAUCCGAGUGCAGGGGAAAGAAGAACAUUCUGGAGUAUAAUAUACCACCCAUAAUAGAGAACAUGGAGGCACAAUUUUGACUCAAUUACUUGAAUUUAAACACUUCUAUGCUUGCCAAAACAUUAAAAAAAAAAAAAGACAUUUAAAGACCUUAAACCACAAGAAUAGUUUAAGAAAAUGGACUGUGACUAAGUAGAGAAAUCAACAAGGAUACCCAGGGUUCAUCCAUACUAUAUACAGUUCUAACUAAUCAACUAAGCAUGUGCACUUGAAUUUAACAAAAAAUGAAGCAUUUGACCUUAAUGAAAAUUAUAAUAAAUUAUCAAAACAAACAAAAACAAGCUAAGGCUAUCACAGUAAUCUGAACAAAUCCCAAAAUAAAGAAAGAACAUCUGAAGACUUCAUGGAAAAUUCAAGACUAUUUCAAACCACAAAACGGACACUUACAGAGCAAUUUUUCUUAACAAGAAAAGCAAUGGGAACUAAAAUAGAAAGUGAAAAUACCCAAAAAAGAAAAACCACUGCAACUUACGAAUCUCAGAGGAAAGGAGAGGAAACAACACAAGGCCGCUUUGCGAUGCUCAGACACCAAAUUGAUUUUUCUUAAGCCAAAUCGUUUGCUUCCAUUUCUUAUUUCACCGGUUCGCGUCCCACAAUGAGAAUUUCAGGAGAAAGGAGUUGCUUGCUUUCGUUUCUACUUUCACAUGGGCAAGUUUCACGGCUCAAUUUGGGUUUCGAGGGAAAGAGGAGAAUGGAUUUGGUAAAAAAGCAAAAGGAAGACUACGAAGGGUGUUUAAUUUUUAUUUAGUUUUCAAUUUUAAAGUAAAGAACUAAGAGGCGAUUUGGUCGCUGCAACAUAAUUUUAGCGACAACUUCAAAAAACGUUGCCACUGAUGUGGUCCAAGCGGGAAAUAAAUUUUUUUGGUUUAAGCAGUAAAGGAAAAAG